Molecule: microRNA precursor, 124 nt
Filed under: Podarcis lilfordi (Lilford's wall lizard)
Lineage: Eukaryota; Metazoa; Chordata; Lepidosauria; Squamata; Lacertidae
Source: RNAcentral
AACUAAGUUUGUUCUUGGUAUAAGCUUUCGUGUGCAUGCACACUUCUUCAGAUACACUGAAACAGAAGUACCUGAAGAAGUGUGCAUGCACACGAAAGCUUAUACCAAGAACAAAUUUAGUUGG